AGUGAACGCUGGCGGUAGGCCUAACACAUGCAAGUCGAACGGCAACACAGUAAGAGCUUGCUCUUACGGGUGGCGAGUGGCGGACGGGUGAGGAAUACAUCGGAAUCUACUUUUUCGUGGGGGAUAACGUAGGGAAACUUACGCUAAUACCGCAUACGACCUACGGGUGAAAGCAGGGGAUCUUCGCACCUUGCGCGAUUGAAUGAGCCGAUGUCGGAUUAGCUAGUUGGCGGGGUAAAGGCCCACCAAGGCGACGAUCCGUAGCUGGUCUGAGAGGCUGAUCACCCACACUGGAACUGAGACACGGUCCAGACUCCUACGGGAGGCAGCAGUGGGGAAUGUUGGACAAUGGGCGCAAGCCUGAUCCAGCCAUACCGCGUGGGUGAAGAAGGCCUUCGGGUUGUAAAGCCCUUUUGUUGGGAAAGAAAAGCAGCAGGUUAAUACGCCGCUGUUCUGACGGUACCCAAAGAAUAAGCACCGGCUAACUUCGUG
Molecule: ribosomal RNA, 492 nt
Filed under: uncultured bacterium
Lineage: Bacteria
Description: partial 16S ribosomal RNA
Rfam family: Bacterial small subunit ribosomal RNA
Source: RNAcentral